This 432-nucleotide ribosomal RNA is filed under the name uncultured bacterium. RNAcentral's name for it is "partial 16S ribosomal RNA". It matches the Rfam family "Bacterial small subunit ribosomal RNA", at positions 30 to 507 of the family's 1533-position model. The record is from RNAcentral.
CGAACGCUGGCGGCAGGCCUAACACAUGCAAGUCGAACGAACCUUUCGGGGUUAGUGGCGGCCGGGUGAGUAACACGUGGGAACGUGCCUUUAGGUUCGGAAUAACUCAGGGAAACUUGUGCUAAUACCGAAUGUGCCCUUCGGGGGAAAGAUUUAUCGCCUUUAGAGCGGCCCGCGUCUGAUUAGCUAGUUGGUUGAGGUAAUGGCUCACCAAGGCGACGAUCAGUAGCUGGUCUGAGAGGAUGAUCAGCCACAUUGGGACUGAGACACGGCCCAAACUCCUACGGGAGGCAGCAGUGGGGAAUCUUGCGCAAUGGGCGAAAGCCUGACGCAGCCAUGCCGCGUGAAUGAUGAAGGUCUUAGGAUUGUAAAAUUCUUUCACCGGGGACGAUAAUGACGGUACCCGGAGAAGAAGCCCCGGCUAACUUCGUG